RNAcentral lists this ribosomal RNA (264 nucleotides) under uncultured bacterium. Its description in RNAcentral is "partial 16S ribosomal RNA". It matches the Rfam family "Bacterial small subunit ribosomal RNA", at positions 337 to 618 of the family's 1533-position model. The record is from RNAcentral.
GCCUACGGGAGGCAGCAGUGGGGGAUAUUGCGCAAUGGGCGAAAGCCUGAUGCAGCGACGCCGCGUGAGGGAAGACGGUCUUCGGAUUGUAAACCUCUGUCUUUGGGGAAGAAAAUGACGGUACCCAAAGAGGAAGCUCCGGCUAACUACGUGCCAGCAGCCGCGGUAAUACGUAGGUGGCGAGCGUUGUCCGGAAUUACUGGGUGUAAAGGGAGCGUAGGCGGGAGAGCAAGUCGACUGUGAAAUCUAUGGGCUUAACCCAUA